This 224-nucleotide unclassified non-coding RNA is filed under the name uncultured Cellvibrionales bacterium. RNAcentral's name for it is "contains 16S-23S intergenic spacer region". The record is from RNAcentral. Lineage: Bacteria; Pseudomonadati; Pseudomonadota; Gammaproteobacteria; Cellvibrionales.
UCCGGUUUGUCACCGGCAGUCUCCUUAGAGUUCCCGCCAUUACGCGCUGGCAACUAAGGACAAGGGUUGCGCUCGUUACGGGACUUAACCCAACAUCUCACGACACGAGCUGACGACAGCCAUGCAGCACCUGUCACUUGGCUCCCGAAGGCACCAAAGCAUCUCUGCUAAGUUCCAAGGAUGUCAAGGCCUGGUAAGGUGGGGAUGACGUAGAACGGUUGGUU